GGACGGAUAGCUCAGCUGGAAGAGCAGUUGACUGAAAAUCAACAGGUCGGCAGUUCAAAUCUGCCUCCGUCCACCA
RNAcentral lists this transfer RNA (76 nucleotides) under Deinococcus soli (ex Cha et al. 2016). RNAcentral describes it as "tRNA-Phe". It matches the Rfam family "tRNA". Rfam says of the family: Transfer RNA (tRNA) molecules are approximately 80 nucleotides in length. Their secondary structure includes four short double-helical elements and three loops (D, anti-codon, and T loops). Further hydrogen bonds mediate the characteristic L-shaped molecular structure. tRNAs have two regions of fundamental functional importance: the anti-codon, which is responsible for specific mRNA codon recognition, and the 3' end, to which the tRNAs corresponding amino acid is attached (by aminoacyl-tRNA synthetases). tRNAs cope with the degeneracy of the genetic code in two manners: having more than one tRNA (with a specific anti-codon) for a particular amino acid; and 'wobble' base-pairing, i.e. permitting non-standard base-pairing at the 3rd anti-codon position. The record is from RNAcentral. Lineage: Bacteria; Thermotogati; Deinococcota; Deinococci; Deinococcales; Deinococcaceae.